UGUGGUUUUCACUUCCACCUGCCACAAGCUAAACACGUCAGGUUCUUCUUGAUUGCGUGGGUCGUUUUCGAAGUCUUUGAGAGAGCUGUCUGGGUGGAAGUGGUUUUAUUUGUGUUUCAGGAAAUUAUCCAGAAAGCAGUGAAGGUCGUUAAAUGCAGACGUCAUUUGCGCCUCUCUUAUUGUUGAACUUGAACCUGAGACGACAAGGAGUCAGACUUCAGGCGGGUAGCUCUAGCGCAGCGCACUCCGGUAGGCUGCUUCACCCAUGAGAGCAGUGCAGGAGGCUGUCAGGUUGGGAUCAGGGAACCCUCUUUCUGAGAUUUGUUUGCGAAUUGCUUGUUUCGCGAUCAGGCGUUUCUAUGUGCGAGGCGUUUGUUGUCACCAUGGCCAGUCUGAGAGCGUUCAGUGAGCCGGUUGAGAGGAUCGCCUCAGAACCCGUGGAGGACACAGACACAAGUAGCUUCAUGACAAGUAUGUCAUUAAAGUCCACCUAUCCGGUUCAAGUCACGGAGCCCCAAGGUAUGUUCAUGUCAAAAGUCUGAAUGAAUGAAGCCAUACAGGACUGUAAAUAUUUUGUAUAUCAUUGUCACAAUGCAAAAAACAUCAUCAUUGCCUGGAGGCCUUUGUCAGUGUCACCAGUGUCUCUAAGACCGGCCCACAGAACAUGUUUAUGGUUGAGAGAAGCAAAGUUAUGUUGUUUUGUUAUCAAAAUGUUUUUUUUGGUGGUUGACAUGGUUUACUAUUUACAAAGAAACAGUUUCUCAUGUGCAAGAAUAGUUCUCUUAAAUGUAUUCAAUAGAAAGAGG
RNA transcript from Clupea harengus (Atlantic herring), 806 nucleotides. RefSeq lists it as uncharacterized. The transcript is spliced from 3 exons. The record is from RefSeq and is a predicted model, not a curated record. NCBI's taxonomy places the organism in Eukaryota, Metazoa, Chordata, Actinopteri, Clupeiformes, Clupeidae.